RNAcentral lists this ribosomal RNA (762 nucleotides) under uncultured bacterium. RNAcentral's name for it is "bacterial SSU rRNA". It matches the Rfam family "Bacterial small subunit ribosomal RNA", at positions 571 to 1331 of the family's 1533-position model. The record is from RNAcentral.
GUAGGUGGCUCAUUAAGUCACAUGUGAAAUCCCCGGGCUUAACCUGGGAACUGCAUGUGAUACUGGUGGUGCUAGAAUAUGUGAGAGGGAAGUAGAAUUCCAGGUGUAGCGGUGAAAUGCGUAGAGAUCUGGAGGAAUACCGAUGGCGAAGGCAGCUUCCUGGCAUAAUAUUGACACUGAGAUUCGAAAGCGUGGGUAGCAAACAGGAUUAGAUACCCUGGUAGUCCACGCCGUAAACGAUGUCUACUAGCCGUUGGGGUCCUUGAGACUUUAGUGGCGCAGUUAACGCGAUAAGUAGACCGCCUGGGGAGUACGGCCGCAAGGUUAAAACUCAAAUGAAUUGACGGGGGCCCGCACAAGCGGUGGAGCAUGUGGUUUAAUUCGAUGCAACGCGAAGAACCUUACCUGGUCUUGACAUAGUGAGAAUCUUUCAGAGAUGAGAGAGUGCCUUCGGGAAUUCACAUACAGGUGCUGCAUGGCUGUCGUCAGCUCGUGUCGUGAGAUGUUGGGUUAAGUCCCGCAACGAGCGCAACCCUUUUCCUUAUUUGCCAGCGGGUUAAGCCGGGAACUUUAAGGAUACUGCCAGUGACAAACUGGAGGAAGGCGGGGACGACGUCAAGUCAUCAUGGCCCUUACGACCAGGGCUACACACGUGCUACAAUGGUAGGUACAGAGGGUUGCUACACAGCGAUGUGAUGCUAAUCUCAAAAAGCCUAUCGUAGUCCGGAUUGGAGUCUGCAACUCGACUCCAUGAAGUCGGAA